This 873-nucleotide long non-coding RNA is filed under the name Panax ginseng (ginseng). RNAcentral's name for it is "long non-coding RNA (PGIN_LNC009450)". The record is from RNAcentral. Lineage: Eukaryota; Viridiplantae; Streptophyta; Magnoliopsida; Apiales; Araliaceae.
UACUGUGGAGCUUACACUUUCAAAUCUACUGUACACAUUUGAGUGGGAACUGCCUGAUGGGAUGAGAAAAGAAGACAGAGACACUGACUCACUGCCGGUUCUAACCUUUCAAAGGAAAAACAAACUUUGCUUGGUGCCUAAACUUUAUGCAUACUAGCUAGCUAGCGCUCUUAAUGGGAUAUAUCCUGCAGAUUUCAGUUUUAUAUAUAUAUAUAUAUAUAUAUAUCUAUGGACACUUCAUUUAAACAAUUCAUAUAUACAUAAUAAGAUGCAUUAAUACAGUAGAGAGUUGUAUUUCAAAUAAUAUUUAAUUUUAUUAUACAACUAUAACUCUCGCCUAUAUAGAUGCAAUUUGUUUAUAUAAAAUUGUUUAAAUUAACUGCCCAGCAUAUAUAUAUUAGUACUCCUACGUGCAUGCUACUAGAAUUGUGCUUGUUUGUACUUCUCAUGUUAUUUCUUUUCCUGCAAUAAUUUUCAAGCUAGCUAGCUUGUAUGGUUUGAAUGAUUUGAUCGAUCUAUGUAUUAAUUGUUAUAUUUCCAUGUAUAAGUUGAAUAAAUAUUUGUUUUAUUUUUGCUACUUUUAUUUAGUUCUGUGUUCUCAUAAAUAGUUAUCAUGGUGAUAUAUAUAUAUAUAUAUAUAUAUAUAUAUAUAUAUAUAUAUAUAUAUAUAUAUAUAUAUAUAUAGAACCCAUACCAAAGGAUCCAUGAAUUUCCUUCUUAAUAAUCUGUUAUACCCCACUCAUUUUCAGCUUCUCAACAAGAACAAACAAGGCUUGGGCUUUGGUUUGGUUUGUUUGUCUUUCUAAAGGACUUUCGCUUUGGCAGAUGGAAGUCAUUGUCCUUUAAUGGGCGGGCUUAAUCACAAGGAUUUAU